Molecule: unclassified non-coding RNA, 265 nt
Filed under: uncultured fungus
Lineage: Eukaryota; Fungi
Description: sequence contains ITS2
Source: RNAcentral
AACGCACAUUGCGCCCGCCAGCAUUCUGGCGGGCAUGCCUGUCCGAGCGUCAUUUCCACCCUCGAGCCCCCGGGCUCGGUGUUGGGGUCCCCUACGGCCGCCGUAGGCCCCGAAAUACAGUGGCGGACCCUCUGGCACUUCCGGGCGCAGUAGUCACAUCUCGCCUUCUGGAGGAGCCCUAGGGGUCUCUGCCUAGACACUGACCGCCCCAGCGGCGGACGCUAUGGUUGACCUCGGAUCAGGUAGGAAUACCCGCUGAACUUAA